UGCGCAGGCGGUUGAGUGUGUCAGAUGUGAAAUCCCGAGGCUUAACCUCGGAACUGCGUCUGAAACUACUCGACUAGAGUACUGGAGAGGGUAACGGAAUUCACGGUGUAGCAGUGAAAUGCGUAGAUAUCGUGAGGAACACCAGAGGCGAAGGCGGUUACCUGGACAGUUACUGACGCUCAGGCACGAAAGCAUGGGGAGCAAAAGGGAUUAGAUACCCCUGUAGUCCAUGCCCUAAACGGUGCACACUAGGUCUUAGCGGAUUCGACCCCACUAGGGCCCAAGCUAACGCGUUAAGUGUGCCGCCUGAGGACUACGGUCGCAAGACUAAA
RNAcentral lists this ribosomal RNA (332 nucleotides) under uncultured bacterium. Its description in RNAcentral is "bacterial SSU rRNA". It matches the Rfam family "Bacterial small subunit ribosomal RNA", at positions 568 to 898 of the family's 1533-position model. The record is from RNAcentral.